RNAcentral lists this small nuclear RNA (167 nucleotides) under Aotus nancymaae (Ma's night monkey). RNAcentral describes it as "U2 spliceosomal RNA (ENSANAG00000008147.1)". It matches the Rfam family "U2 spliceosomal RNA". Rfam says of the family: U2 is a small nuclear RNA (snRNA) component of the spliceosome (involved in pre-mRNA splicing). Complementary binding between U2 snRNA (in an area lying towards the 5' end but 3' to hairpin I) and the branchpoint sequence (BPS) of the intron results the bulging out of an unpaired adenosine, on the BPS, which initiates a nucleophilic attack at the intronic 5' splice site, thus starting the first of two transesterification reactions that mediate splicing. The record is from RNAcentral. Lineage: Eukaryota; Metazoa; Chordata; Mammalia; Primates; Aotidae.
AUCGCUUCUCAGCCUCUUGGCUAUGAUCAAGUGUAGUAUCUGUUCUUAUCGGUUUAAUAUCUGAUACGUCCUCUAUCCGUGGACAAUAUAUUAAAUGGAUUUUUGGAGCAGGGAAAAAGAAGAAAAAUUUUUUUAAAAAAAGGAGUCCACUUCUGGACUCAGGCAAC